GUGGGGAAUCUUGCACAAUGGGGGCAACCCUGAUGCAGCGACGCCGCGUGAGCGAUGAAGCCCUUCGGGGUGUAAAGCUCUUUCGGCAGGGAAGAUUAUGACGGUACCUGCAGAAGCAGCUGCGGCUAACUACGUGCCAGCAGCCGCGGUAAUACGUAGGCAGCGAGCGUUGUUCGGAGUUACUGGGCGUAAAGGGUGUGUAGGCGGUUGUUUAAGUUUGAUGUGAAAUCUCCCGGCUUAACCGGGAGGGUGCGUCGAAUACUGAAUGACUAGAGUGCGGGAGAGGAAAGUGGAAUUCCUGGUGUAGCGGUGAAAUGCGUAGAUAUCAGGAGGAACACCGGUGGUGUAGACGGCUUUCUGGACCGUAACUGACGCUGAAACACGAAAGCGUGGGUAGCAAACAGGAUUAGAAACCCCGGUAGUCC
RNAcentral lists this ribosomal RNA (425 nucleotides) under uncultured bacterium. RNAcentral describes it as "bacterial SSU rRNA". It matches the Rfam family "Bacterial small subunit ribosomal RNA", at positions 354 to 796 of the family's 1533-position model. The record is from RNAcentral.